This 990-nucleotide ribosomal RNA is filed under the name Klebsiella sp. PGOa9. Its description in RNAcentral is "bacterial SSU rRNA". It matches the Rfam family "Bacterial small subunit ribosomal RNA", at positions 44 to 1038 of the family's 1533-position model. Lineage: Bacteria; Pseudomonadati; Pseudomonadota; Gammaproteobacteria; Enterobacterales; Enterobacteriaceae. The record is from RNAcentral.
GUCAGCAUCAGUAGCCGUACACUUAACCAGAUAGCCAGAUCUCUGGUGACGAGCGGCGGACGGGUGAGUAAUGUCUGGGAAACUGCCUGAUGGAGGGGGAUAACUACUGGAAACGGUAGCUAAUACCGCAUAAUGUCGCAAGACCAAAGUGGGGGACCUUCGGGCCUCAUGCCAUCAGAUGUGCCCAGAUGGGAUUAGCUAGUAGGUGGGGUAACGGCUCACCUAGGCGACGAUCCCUAGCUGGUCUGAGAGGAUGACCGCCUACACGACAAAAAACGAUAACUAUAUGGAGGAAGAGCAGGCUGGUAGUUGAAGGGGUCCCCCCGCCUCCAGCCCAUGAACACCCCGUGCUGUUCUAGAGUCCUUUUCCUUAUUGUCCCUCUUGCACUUUCAGCGGGGAGGAAGGCGGUGAGGUUAAUAACCUCACCGAUUGACGUUACCCGCAUAAUAAGCACCGGCUAACUCCGUGCCAGCACCCGCGGUAAUACGGAGGGUGCAAGCGUUAAUCGGAAUUACUGGGCGUAAAGCGCACUCACGCGGUCUGUCAAGUCGGAUGUGAAAUCCCAGGGCUCAACCUGGAAACUGCAUUCGAAACUGGCAGGCUAGAGUCUUGUAGAGGGGGAUAGAAUUCCAGGUGUAGCGGUGAAAUGCGUAGAGAUCUGGAGGAAUACCGGUGGCGAAGGCGGCCCCCUGGACAAAGACUGACGCUCAUGUGCGAAAGCGUGGGGAGCAAACACGAUUAGAUACCCUGGUAGUCCACGCCGUAAACGAUGUCAAUUUGGAGGUUGUGCCCUUGAGGCGUGGCUUCCGGACCUAACGCAUUAAUCGACCGCCUGGGGAGAACGGCCGCCCGGUUAAAAUCAAAGAAUUGCCGGGGCCCGCGCAGCAGCGGAGCAUGGUGUUUAAUUCUAGAACACAAAAAUCUAGCUGGUUUUGAUAUCCUCGAACUUGCUAAAAUUGAUUGGGUGGCUUUGUGGUCAGGGGGACAGU